UACGUAGGUGGCAAGCGUUGUCCGGAUUUACUGGGCGUAAAGAGCGCGCAGGCGGUCAGAUAAGUCGAAUGUGAAAGCCCCCGGCUCAACUGGGGAGGGUCAUUCGAUACUGUUCGACUCGAAGGCAGGAGAGGGAAGUGGAAUUCCCGGUGUAGUGGUGAAGUGCGUAGAUAUCGGGAGGAACACCAGUGGCGAAGGCGACUUCCUGGCCUGUUCUUGACGCUGAGGCGCGAAAGCUAGGGGAGCAAACGGG
This 253-nucleotide ribosomal RNA is filed under the name uncultured bacterium. RNAcentral describes it as "partial 16S ribosomal RNA". It matches the Rfam family "Bacterial small subunit ribosomal RNA", at positions 524 to 776 of the family's 1533-position model. The record is from RNAcentral.